UGAUACCAUGUCUAAGCAGAG
Molecule: non-coding RNA, 21 nt
Filed under: Rattus norvegicus (Norway rat)
Lineage: Eukaryota; Metazoa; Chordata; Mammalia; Rodentia; Muridae
Source: RNAcentral